UACGUAGGGGGCAAGCGUUGUCCGGAAUUAUUGGGCGUAAAGCGCGCGCAGGCGGCUUUGUAAGUUUGGUGUUUAAGCUCAGAGCUCAACUCUGAUUCGCAUCGAAAACUGCAAGGCUUGAGUACAGAAGAGGAAAGUGGAAUUCCACGUGUAGCGGUGAAAUGCGUAGAGAUCGGAAAGAACACCAACGGCGAAAGCACUCUGCUGGGCCGACACUGACACUGAGAGACGAAAGCUAGGGGAGCGAAUGGG
This 252-nucleotide ribosomal RNA is filed under the name uncultured bacterium. RNAcentral's name for it is "partial 16S ribosomal RNA". It matches the Rfam family "Bacterial small subunit ribosomal RNA", at positions 524 to 776 of the family's 1533-position model. The record is from RNAcentral.